UUUCCCUACGGGGGGCAGCAGUAGGGAAUCUUCUACAAUGGGCGAAAGCCUGAUGGAGCAACGCCGCGUGAGGGAGGAAGUAUUUCGGUAUGUAAACCUCUGUUAUAAAGGAAGAACGGUGCAUGUAGGGAAUGACAUGCAAGUGACGGUACUUUAUGAAGAAGCCACGGCUAACUACGUGCCAGCAGCCGCGGUAAUACGUAGGUGGCGAGCGUUAUCCGGAAUUAUUGGGCGUAAAGAGGGAGCAGGCGGCAGCUAAGGUCUGCGGUGAAAGCCCGAAGCUAAACUUCGGUAAGCCGUGGAAA
This 305-nucleotide ribosomal RNA is filed under the name uncultured bacterium. RNAcentral describes it as "bacterial SSU rRNA". It matches the Rfam family "Bacterial small subunit ribosomal RNA", at positions 334 to 632 of the family's 1533-position model. The record is from RNAcentral.